GCCACUUUUUCCAGCUAAAAAACAUCUCUUUCUGUGGGUACCAUCCAAAGAACAACAAGUACUUUGGGUUUAUCACUAAGCACCCUGCUGACCACCGGUUUGCCUGCCAUGUCUUUGUGUCUGAAGAUUCCACCAAAGCCCUGGCAGAGUCUGUGGGGCGUGCAUUUCAGCAGUUCUACAAGCAAUUUGUGGAAUAUACCUGUCCUACAGAAGAUAUCUACUUGGAGUAGCAGCAACCCCCCUCUCUGCAGCCCCUCAGCCCCAGAGCCCUGAGCUCAUGCUGAGCCCAAGCACCUCCGAAGGACUUUCCAGUAAGGAAAUGGCAACAUGUGACAGUGAGGACCCUGUUCUCAUCUGUGGGGCCUCCGGCAGCUCCGACCUCCAGCCUGGCCAGCACGCUGACCCUGGCAAGCUUGUGUGUUCAAAGAAGGAGAGGGCCACAGCAAGCCCUGCCUGCCAGGGAAGGUUCCCUCUCAGCUGGCCCCAGCCAACUGGUCACUGUCUUGUCACCUGGCUACUACUAUUAAAGUGCCAUUUCUUGUCUGG
RNAcentral lists this long non-coding RNA (546 nucleotides) under Rattus norvegicus (Norway rat). RNAcentral's name for it is "long non-coding RNA NONRATT019470". Lineage: Eukaryota; Metazoa; Chordata; Mammalia; Rodentia; Muridae. The record is from RNAcentral.